UAAUACGGAGGGUGCGAGCGUUAAUCGGAAUUACUGGGCGUAAAGCGCGCGUAGGCGGCUUUGUAAGUCAGGGGUGAAAUCCCACGGCUCAACCGUGGCAUUGCCUUUGAUACUGCAGAGCUUGAGUUCGGGAGAGGGUGGUGGAAUUCCAGGUGUAGGAGUGAAAUCCGUAGAGAUCUGGAGGAACAUCAGUGGCGAAGGCGACCACCUGGCCCGAUACUGACGCUGAGGUGCGAAAGCGUGGGUAGCAAACAGG
RNAcentral lists this ribosomal RNA (256 nucleotides) under uncultured bacterium. RNAcentral's name for it is "partial 16S ribosomal RNA". It matches the Rfam family "Bacterial small subunit ribosomal RNA", at positions 521 to 776 of the family's 1533-position model. The record is from RNAcentral.